UACUAAAGCUUUGAAAACGGAUGCACUCUCGUUUUGGAAUUUUACUCCUUUCGACAACAUCAUAGAGAAGACGGUUAACAAGAAUGUGUUGGUCGGUGAGUUAUUUUGACAAUUUUAU
This 118-nucleotide small RNA is filed under the name Arabidopsis thaliana (thale cress). RNAcentral's name for it is "ATSL194760". Lineage: Eukaryota; Viridiplantae; Streptophyta; Magnoliopsida; Brassicales; Brassicaceae. The record is from RNAcentral.